Non-coding RNA from Nicotiana tabacum (common tobacco), 1968 nucleotides. The record is from RefSeq and is a predicted model, not a curated record. NCBI's taxonomy places the organism in Eukaryota, Viridiplantae, Streptophyta, Magnoliopsida, Solanales, Solanaceae.
UAUUAUUGUUAUCACCGUCAACUAGGGGCUUUAAAAGCUGAAUGCAGUAUUGUGAGCGGAGGGCAAAGCAGCACUGCAGCAGCAUAAGAUUUGUGAUGGAUGACUCCAAAUGGAAGGGGAAGCGUGAGGGAUAAAAUGAAAGAUAACAAGAAUGAUAAUGCUGUUGAUUGGAAAGGCUUUAGGAUUCUGCUAUAGAUUGGGAAGGAAGCCGUGUGGGAAGAGAAUAAAAACUUGUGUAAUUGCACUUGUCAAGUACAUCAGGUACCUGAAACCCUAGCUCUCAUUUUUAUAUUUUAGAUCUAGAAAUAAAGAAUAGCUGUUAAAAAGUCUACAAUGCGGGUCUUGCUUAUUCAAGCUCGCUUACCAUCAAGCUCAAAAGCAAGCUCUAGUUUAUAACUCGUUAAUAACGAGCUAUACUUGAACUUGGCUGCCGAGCUGAGUUUUUUGAGCAAAUUGCUUGGCAAGUUUAGUUUAUCCUUGCAUGGUUCCUUUUGACCGUUGCUUGAUUGUCCUGCUUUUUAGUCAAUUCUCGAUUCUAGCUAGCAACUUAAAGCUGCUCUCCUACUCUGUUCUUUUUUGCUGUUCCAGCUCUUUAGCUUCUUCUAUAUGUUUAGCUAGGCGCAUCUGCUCUUGGUUAGUCCUCGUGGAUGUCGACUACCUCUCUCUUUUACAGUCACUUAAAGAAGAGAGACUCAUUCAUUCUACUAUUCUUUAGUUCUUUCUCAAAAAAACUAUUCUUUAGUCUCAUUCACAACCAUUAUAUGUGUACUUCCACUGACUUCUUUGAUACUGAAAGCUGCAUUUGAAGAUUCCAAAGACAUGGCUGCGAGGGAACUAAAGUUAUAUACUGCCAGCACGCUAGCUGUAGUAUCAGUUGUCGGUAUCACAAAGAGCAAAAAACUUCGUAAAAGUUGGAUGAAUCCAUAGAAUUUCCCUCUGCAGUCUCUGAUAUAGCUUGGUAAUUUCUGCUGUAUGUGGAGAAUAUUAGCUAUUUGGCUUAAAAAUGUAUCUGACUGCCCAAGGACCAAUCACUUUUCGAUAAACUGCAGGAGUCACGAGCUAGGCGCAGGGUUGUACUAUAUCAUAGCAAAGAAUUGCACAGGACAGUAUGUGUGUGAAGGCAGAAGUUAUGGUUGUUGCUUCUCAGCCUUUAUAUAAUGACUGAACUCUAUGUUCCUUUUGUUUUGGUUGGCUUGGGGUUUUGAAAUCUGCCAUAUGCAUGUGAGAAGGCCUUGAUCCUUCUAUUUCAAGGUUACUUUCAUCUGGUUAUGUGCCCUUGGAGGGUAAUUACCUAAUAGCUGUAUUGGCUUGCUUGAAGCGAAAUUAUUGACUGGAUACUAUUAAGUAUCAGCAUAUAUUUUCAUUUGACAGUAAGUAAACCAUGAAUUCUUUCGGUAGAAUAGAUCUCCUGGUAAGUUGUAUUAAUGGAGAUGAUGUUAUCAAAAAAUUAAUCGAGAUGGUGUUCUUUUUCUUAUUUAGGUAACUUGGAAGAUCUUCAUUACGUUGGAAGCUGACCUUUUAGAAGUAUCAGAAAAUAAAGGCCGAGUAUGGAAAGAUGUAAUACAUAACCUCAGGACCAUAUGAUCACGAACUGAAAUGAAACUUGCACACAAUGUUAUUGAAAAUACAAGGAAAAAACACGAUAGAAAAAUCACUGCAAGGCACGGAAGGGACCAGGCCCAAACCUCGCACCACUUGGCCAGAUUGCGAGGUCGAUCUUGCGUCCCAGCUCGCCUAACGAGGUCCAUCACCUCGGCAGACCAGGCCUUGCCAGGUUAUUUCCUGGCCUUAGACCAGGCUUUGCAAGGUGCCCAUGUCCGAGUGGAAAUUAUUUUUUUGUUAAUUUUGGACUUGGAUACUUCGACCCUGGACUUAUAUAAUAGUUCUUGAACUCGUUUUUUUAGAAAGGAGCCGUCAUGGAGGCCAGAGUUCAUCCGACUCUCUUCCGCCAAACUUAGUAAUUUUGUA